GAGGCCAGGCCAGUUACUAUGCCCUUCCUGCCCAUACCGAGGCUCUAGCCUCCAAUUCCGUCAUCACAGGUAUUGUCAUGGCUUGUCACAAAGAUGCAUCGGUUCUAUUCGAUCCACGCUCCACUUAUUCUUAUGUGUCUUCUUAUUUUGCUCCACAUUUGGGUGUAUCUCAGGAUUCUUUGAGUUCCCCUAUUUACGUUUCUAUUCCU
Molecule: long non-coding RNA, 209 nt
Filed under: Nicotiana benthamiana
Lineage: Eukaryota; Viridiplantae; Streptophyta; Magnoliopsida; Solanales; Solanaceae
Description: long non-coding RNA (NBEN_LNC016557)
Source: RNAcentral